UACGGGAGGCAGCAGUGGGGAAUAUUGCACAAUGGGCGCAAGCCUGAUGCAGCCAUGCCGCGUGUAUGAAGAAGGCCUUCGGGUUGUAAAGUACUUUCAGUCGUGAGGAAGGUGUUAAGGUUAAUAACCUUAGCAAUUGACGUUAGCGACAGAAGAAGCACCGGCUAACUCCGUGCCAGCAGCCGCGGUAAUACGGAGGGUGCGAGCGUUAAUCGGAAUUACUGGGCGUAAAGGGCACGCAGGCGGUUAAUUAAGUUGGAUGUGAAAUCCCCGGGCUUAACCUGGGAAUGGCAUUCAAGACUGGUUAGCUAGAGUCUUGUAGAGGGGGUAGAAUUCCAUGUGUAGCGGUGAAAUGCGUAGAGAUGUGGAGGGAUACCGGUGGCGAAGGCGGCCCCUGGGACAAAGGACUGACGCUCAUGUGCGAAAGCGUGGGGAGCGAAACAGGGAUUAGAUACC
This 456-nucleotide ribosomal RNA is filed under the name uncultured bacterium. RNAcentral's name for it is "bacterial SSU rRNA". It matches the Rfam family "Bacterial small subunit ribosomal RNA", at positions 340 to 786 of the family's 1533-position model. The record is from RNAcentral.